CCUAUUUCCUAUGUCAUGGACUCCUGGUGAGAUGGAUAGAUGAUCCUCGCCGGAUCAGGCCAAGCGCCCGCUGGCUAGGUUUCACUUUACCGCUCUUCCGCGCGGCAGAGCCGUAAACGGGCCGCUCCCGAACCCAAAAAAGGGACCCAUAUCCAAAAUCCCACUCCUGUGAAUACAAAAUAUCCUUUCUUUUUCGGGCCGCUUUCGGGAUAUAUACUCCUGUUUGAGGUGAAUUGCCCUUUCCCCCCGACGGCUCUCACCUCAUUUUCGAAUGACAAUCCCGCUAUCAACAGAAAUUCGAUAGCCCCCAGCCAGAUAGAAGCCGCCCCCCCCCAAAAUUCAGUGAGAUCACAUACUUUCAACACAAAUAAAAAACCAUA
This 380-nucleotide small RNA is filed under the name Histoplasma capsulatum. RNAcentral's name for it is "hypothetical RNA". RNAcentral also lists the same sequence under 1 other name. Lineage: Eukaryota; Fungi; Ascomycota; Eurotiomycetes; Onygenales; Ajellomycetaceae. The record is from RNAcentral.